RNAcentral lists this ribosomal RNA (253 nucleotides) under uncultured bacterium. RNAcentral describes it as "partial 16S ribosomal RNA". It matches the Rfam family "Bacterial small subunit ribosomal RNA", at positions 524 to 776 of the family's 1533-position model. The record is from RNAcentral.
UACGUAGGUGGCAAGCGUUGUCCGGAAUUACUGGGUGUAAAGGGAGCGCAGGCGGGAAGCCAAGUCAGCUGUGAAAACUACGGGCUUAACUUGUAGACUGCAGUUGAAACUGGUUUUCUUGAGUGAAGUAGAGGUUGGCGGAAUUCCGAGUGUAGCGGUGAAAUGCGUAGAUAUUCGGAGGAACACCGGUGGCGAGGGCGGCCAACUGGGCUUUAACUGACGCUGAGGCUCGAAAGUGUGGGGAGCAAACAGG